AGGAAAAAAAGACUUCCCUAAUUAUUCCUGAUUAGAAAAGAUUUUACCGUUGAACGAGUAAUAUUAAGUGUCCAUUUUCAGAAGAGCAUCCAAAACCUUCAUUUCCCUUUUCCUUUCACCCAACUGUGAAACCCACUGCAUCAGAAUCCUGCGAUUCUCCUAGGGCUGAAAUCCUCAAUUUCAGUAUUAAUCAAAAUGCCUCUCUUCCGUUCCUUGUUUCUGUGAUGCUAUUUGAUUUCUGUUUCUUCUGUAGAUUGAAAUGAAAAUAUAGUUCUUACUGGGGAAAUGGGUUUAUUCUCAAGCAUUUGACAUUGCUGUAGCAGUCAUAGAACGAAGAGAAGAAAAGAGUAACUCUAGGCUUUCUAAAUCUAGCAUCUCGUUUCGUAGUUCUUAGUGCUUAUUCUUCAAUGGGUUUAAUGUGCGAUCAAUUUCUUUAAUUUCGGCUUUCUAUUGGCAAGAUAAAAUUAUAUAUUUUUGUCCUUUUGUUUGUUUUUCUAAUUGUUAGAGCUUUUCAUUUGUUAUUCUUGAAAAAAGAUACAUGCACUCUUCUUUUGUUUGAUUCAAUUUCGUGAAAAAAUAAAUAUUAAGAAGAAAUUGUAGUUCAAAAGCGCCAUGAUAAGAGCUGAUGAAGCUGGAGAACUGUUGAUGUUAAUGCAGUUCAGCGACGUCGUUUCUUCAUUUGAUAAUGACGACUCUAACGCUUCCUCGCAUCUGUAAUCCUUCUCAUGGUACAAUUUUUUCUCGGUCCUAAAGUUCCUAAAUUUAAAAUUAAUAUCUGAGUUUUCUCUUUCUUCAUUUAACAAAUAAAACCAUGCGGCAAUGUCGACAUGAAGGAGAAGUGCAAUUUAAUCACACAACUCAUGUCUAAGAUUUCAGCUUCUUUUCUAGAUGAAGCCUUGCUCUUAUGUUCUGCAAUGGCUGCGGCUCAGGCUGCCCCGGUUGAAGAUAAAGAUCUGCAUUUUCCCUCCUGCCAAUGCUUGAAACUUGUGUAUCUUUAUGCUAAUUGUUUAUUCAAUGCCUAAGGUGAUAUCAAAAAUUCUGCCAAUUCAAUUGCAUUAAAAUUUGUUUGACUUUAUUUUAAUUUUAAUUUUAUAUAUUUUAGAUUUCAGCUUCUUUUCUAGAGGAAGCGCUGCUUUUAUUUAAAUUAAAUAUUGGAAAAAGGAAAACAAGGUUUUAGGUUGCAUUUUUAUUGUUUAUUUAUUCUUUAACAUAUUUUUAUUGGCCAUUGUGUUUGAAUAAAUGUGUGUCUUUGUAUAUAUAGAGGGAGAGAUUAUAUAUUUAAAAUGAUAAGUACUAUGAUUUCAUUUUCCUCAUAAGUUGUUCAAAUGUUAUAUCAACUGCUUGUGAUAAUAAUGAAUUGCUUGCUUUUAGUCUAGAAGUGCUUCGUUAUUCUAAACAAUUGUUGCUUCCUGUUUAUUGAUUUUGAUGUGAUUGUUUGUGCUUGUAUCAUUCUGAUGCUAAUUAAUCAUCAAAAAGAAUGUCGCCACUAUCCAAAAAGGCUAAUUGGAUAGCGAAAGUGGGGACGUCUCGGCGUCCAAGAGGAUCAGAUUCUUGAUAUUUAGAGAAUUAUGGUCCAUUAGAGUUUGAAAUGAACCUAUAAAUAAAGUAUGUAUCUAUAUUGCUUUGAAAAUAUUGUAAGCAUUGAAAAGAUGAUUGAAACUAUUUUUAAAAUGGUGUUGUCAUUUUUCUAAGUUUCGAACUUGAGCCUUGUGUUCAAUGGUCUUUCAAUAGUCUGCAUAUGUAUCGAGUCGCACGUGUUCACUCAUGCAUCAUCAAUUCACAUGUCAAAUACAUUAAGUAGCAUAUUGGUUGUCGGUCUCAAACAGAAUGAUGCAAGUUUAAAAUAAAGAGAAAAUGAAAAAGUAUACUAAAAUAGAUUUUACUAAGAAUUAUCAAAAAAUUUGAAUGGUUUGAACAAGAUUCACAAUGCACCAAAGUUCUCUAUAUGGAUGACAUUCGAACAAGAGUUAGAUUGCACUCGAGAUGUCACAAUAAACUGUAAAGAUUCAGUCGUGGUGCUUGCAAGUGCAUAAUGAUAUGAUUGCUUUUCGUGAAAUGUAUGUGAUUGCUCAGUGAGGUUUUAAAUAAUAAUUAUCAUUGUGUAUCACAGUUGAGUGGAUGCUUCAUGUUUAUUCUGACAACAUGUUGAUAUGAUUUUGAGUCGAGUUUCUCAUUUGAAAAUGUUUUAAAACUUGUAUAUUCUUUAUAAUUUUUACUAUUCACUAUACUCUUCCUUUGAUUAUCUCUUUGUAUGUCUAUGGUAAAAGCUUCUUUGAUUAAAUCCAACUCCAUAGCUCUCCUGGCUAUUCUUUAAGCUUGCUUAAGAUACUAAUUUCUUGUUGACAGGCCUGAGUUGGGUUUAGUAAUUUUGGGCAUGUGAUAUUAUGACUGGAUUGGAAAUUGAUGCUUGUUAGAUUUGAUCAAUGUUUGAAGAUUAAACUUGAAGUCCAUAAGGAUUGGGUUGGCACAAGCGAUGUUGAAGGUUGUUUAGAGUUUAAAUUGGAGAACUGAUGAUGAGUUUGAAGCUAUCAACUCUAAGAAUUACAUUGUUUGAGGAUGAUUCUUGGGCUAACUUUAACUUUCUUAUUUUCUUAUUUUGUUCACUAUCUCCAUUUCUAUUUCUAAGGUUAGCACUUCAACCUCAUCUCUGCAUAAUUCAAUAACUAUUCUUUAAUUUUAUUUAGUUGCAUGAAGUGAGUAAGGGCUUUGGGUUACUUUAAAUGAUGAUUAUUGACCGUGCUUGAUUUGUGUUUAUGGCUUAAUUGUUGUAUUGUGGCAUGAGAUGUUAGAUUGGUGCUAUGCCAAAUUAUGUGAAUCUUAGGUUGGUCCUUUUUUAGUGCGAACUUGAUUGGAAUUUUGGAUUUCUGUCCCCUGUGUGACAGUCCACCUGUUUGAGCAUUAUCUAAAGUUCCAGAACUCCAAAUGAGGCAAAAUCUGAACCUAUAGAAACUUUGAUCCGUCCUCUAAAACUAUUUAUUUUGUGGAAGUCCUAAUUCUGCAAAUUGAGUAUUAGAUUUUUAUGGUCAAUCUGACCUGACAGAUUGACCUAUCUACAUUGUUUUAUUUAGUCCUCCUUGUUCACAAGACCAAUUGGAAAUGAAGGUAGACUUAAUGCCCUUAUGAUCUGGAAAAGAUGGUACUAAUAAAGCUUCCUAGAAUUUUUUGUGACAAUUUUAAGUAGAGCCUCAUAAAUCUGUUAUAGAUGAUAGUUUGUUGAUUAUGUGUAAAUAGUAUUUUUAGAUUAUUAAUUGCUUGAGAAAAUCUAUAUUUUUGAUGCCAUGUGAUUAAUAGGUGAUAUAUUUAUUGAUACAUUGCUGGUGGGAGCUAUGGUUUGGUAAUUAAGGGUUGAUUUAAUUUUUGUUUGCUAAGUCCUGAAUUUUGUUCUAAGUCUUUUCUUGACAGUCAAAAUUGAAAAUUCAUACACCAAAUUCUAUGACACAUGAAUGGUUGAUUUUUGUGCAUGUUGUUUCCCCGUCUAUGUAGUUUAUGUGUAUAAAAGGGCACUUUAGUCCAACGGCAUGAUCUUGACUUAUGGCCGUUUUUUAGGGAAUACCUGGAGAGAAUUUUCUAAACUAGAAUUAGGGAUCUUCCUUGUUUCUUUGGAUUGCUUUCUAGCUUGGAAAUUGCAAUUACCCCUUAAUUCAAUGAAUAUCUGAGAGGCUUCGAUACAAGAAUUUAUGGGAUUUAGCCCUUAGUUUAAGUUGAAAGUGGUGCCUGAUUCAAUCUGAUAUAAUCUGAUUAGAUCUUUUAUUAUUGCACUGGUUUUGAUAUCAAUUUCAUGAUACUUAAUUUAAAACUUGCCAUCAACAUAAAGGAAAGUGUUUUUUAGAACUUUUUAUGUUAAGACUGAUAUCCAAGUUGUGUCACGCAUAGAUUCUUAUGGUGAAUGAAUAUAGAAAUAGAGUACACCCUCCCCUCCAUGAUUUAUCCGAUUAUAACACUUUCUUCUUUUAUGAUGCACAUUGAUAAAGUUUAUUUGUUAUACAAUUUGAAAUAUAGUUCUGCAUCUAUAUAACAAAAAAAAAGCAAAGCAUAAUGUUGUUGGUUUUUAACAUAUCAUUUUAGUUCUGCAUUUACCGAUAUUUUACUCUUCUUUUUGUAACCUGACAUCAAAUGGGAUGAAGUGUAGCUUUCCCUGGUCAUCCUCUGGAUUCUGGUUUGACUCUUGCAGCUGCGAAGGCAAGGAAUUUUGUACUGAAGAAUUCACAUUGAUUUCAGAUGGUGCUUCGUUGGGGUCCAUUGAUCAAGUCGCAUUUGAUUAGAUGCUAAAAUUUUGGCACAUAACCUUUAUCUAGGCUUUGCAGAGUGGAUCUAUUAUUAUCAACCAUAGACCUAUGGGACAUUUCUAUAUUGUUUAUUUCAAGUAUUUGCCUAUAUGUUUAGGAACCAGGUCCUGAAGCUGGAACUCCUGUCAGGACUUCACCGAUUGAUGCUCAUGCUGGUGAUGUGGGGAUCAUGGAGAGUGUUCCACUUCUUGAUGUAGAUUCUGAUGUUAAAGAGUAUAAUAAGGAAGCAAUAUGUCGUUGUAUAGCUUUAGUCUGUGGUACUUCUACUCGUCAUAUGGCUGUAUUACAGAGCAAGCUGUUCGUUCCUGGAGUUUGGGGACCAUUUUGGUCAGUAUUGCAGCUUAAGUGAUUCGCGAAGUUGUUAAAGGCACACCUGGGGUACAAGGUGCACGAAGCACAAGCCCUAGCACCUCAAACGCUAAAAGGUCUUAAGCAUACCAAAUUAAAAUGAAACAAUUACAAGAAAGAAAGAAGCCCAUGUUGCUUUAGAUAAGACACAAAUUGUCUACAUGAGGGGGAUAAGACAUUACUGCUAUAAUUAUUCUACAUCACACAACUAGACAUUUCGUUGUUCGAACUAUUGAACAAUAUUUUGAGGACUAUAAUGGAUGACCUAAAGGCUGCAUUUGCUGCUUUAACAUAAGAUGUAUAUGUCCUUCCCGACUUUCAAAACAGAUUGACAUGCUGCUUGCAUGUAGUGGCCUUUCAAGAAACUGUGUCUGUUCAAGAACAUGCAGAUAUUAUUGGUUGCCCUAUUGUACUACCACGAGUAUUAGGUGCUGUUGCCGCAAAAUAUGCUGGUCUCAUUGAGGCCAUGAUGGCCCUGAAUGCAGUCGGUCAGGGAUGCAUGAGCUCUUGUUUCUAAAUCUUCAAUUCAUAACUUUUAUGACAUAACUAGGUCAUUCAUCCAUCAAAAGACUCAAAGUUGAAGCAGUAUCAUGAUGCCAAAUACCGAGUAUCCGAGAAAUUUAUGAGCAGCAACUAUCUCAACAUGCAUUAAUUGCUAAAGCUUUGGAAUAGGUCCUGCUGCUUCUCAGGAGUUGUGUAAACUUAUGCAGGAUCGUAGAAGUUUGAUAAAAUCUCAGAAAAAAAUCUUUGUAAAGUUAAUUGGCAUUUUCACCAGGUUGCCCUAUUGCACUACCACGAGAAAGCAAGCCUGUUGUAUUGGGUGCUGCUAUUCUUGGUGCUGUUGCUGCAAAAAAUAUGCCAAUCUCUAUGAGGCGACGAGGGCCCUGAAUGCAGCCAGUCAGUAUAAGCUUGUUAGACAUGGUUCAUGCUGAAGAUUGAAGCUUGAAGCUUGAAGAAUAUAAGGUUUGGGUCAGAACAAGUGCUCUUUGUUUAGAGUUUCAAUUUAAGAACUGCUGAUGACUUUGAACCUAGUAACUUGAAGAGUUAAGUAGUUUUAGGGUGAUUCUUCGAGUAAUUAUGACUUCUUAAUUUUCUUAUUUUCUUUGAGUAACUUAAUUUUCUAUUUCUAAGGUUAGUACAUGUAUCUCAUCUCUAAAUAAUUUUAUGAUUGGGUAGCUAAUUUUUAAUUUUAUUAAAUUACAUGACGGAGUGAGUAAAAGCUUUGGGUUAUUUCAAAUGAUGCUUAUUGACUAUGAUGGAUUACUUUAAAUUUUUUGAAUGGCUUUUUUGUUUGUUUUUUGAAUUGAAUUAUUUGUGAUAUAGUCAGAUAAGAAUUAAUGUGUUUACCAUGUUUGUAGGAUGGGUAAAAUAUAGAAUUUGUAAACUCUAAUUUGUAUAUUUAUAAUUAGAUAAUCCGGAGUCAUCAAGCGCACCGAGUGUUGUACUGUAAGUAGUAUAUUAUAUAUAUAUAUAUAUAUAUAUAUAUAUCUACGUAUAAGCAUUAUCUCCUCUCCCUUUACUAUCUUUUUUUUAACUUCCAACCCUAAUCCUAAAAAUUACCUACUCAAUUUUUGUUUCUUUUCUCUUCUUUUUCCAUUUUACAUCUACAACUCAUUUUUCUAAUUGUUCCAUUCGCAACUCAUAUAUCCUCAUUCUUAUCUUUGAGAAUAGCUCUCUCUACUUCACCAUAUUCGAGUGCUAUAUCCAAAUCUCGGCCUAGUUAUUAUAUGACCAACCAUGAUAAUAAGUACUUACAAAGGCCAUUUUCUGGUUGGAUUGAAAGUGCCAGGUAAUUUUUUUUUUUCAUUUAUUUUUUUUAGGAUUAGUGAUGUUUGAAUUUUGAUACAGUUUUAAUUUUAUCUCAGAUGUAAAAUGAAAAGAUAAAAAAGAAAAAUUGAGUAGGUAAUUUUUUGAUAUUGGAACUAGAAGUAAACAAAAAUAAUAGGAUAUGAUUAGGAUAAAAAAUAGGGUUCACUGCUUAAAUAACAUUUCCUUAGUUGUUUCCCAGCAGCCCUUUUGAUCAGUACUCUGCCUGUAACUUUUGCCAUGGUUGCAAUCAUUUAAAACCGGGGCCUAACAAACAAAUCUAAAGUAGCUCUAAAAAGACAAUGGAGCAAAAAAAAUGCUAUGCGUAGAAAGCCUAUUUAUUGUUGUAUCUUUAUUUAAUAAUUAAUGGAAUGUAUAUUUAUUGAGGAAAUCACGCUCUAUAUCCCAUUUUUUUGAAACUAUUAUAAUCUUACCCUGUUUCUUUGUUUA
Ricinus communis (castor bean) is the source of this 6890-nucleotide long non-coding RNA. RefSeq lists it as uncharacterized. NCBI's taxonomy places the organism in Eukaryota, Viridiplantae, Streptophyta, Magnoliopsida, Malpighiales, Euphorbiaceae. The record is from RefSeq and is a predicted model, not a curated record. The transcript has 11 exons.